Molecule: long non-coding RNA, 274 nt
Filed under: Mustela putorius furo (domestic ferret)
Lineage: Eukaryota; Metazoa; Chordata; Mammalia; Carnivora; Mustelidae
Description: lncRNA (ENSMPUG00000027774.1)
Source: RNAcentral
GCCGGGGCAGGGCAGUAAUGUGUGUCUGGGUCAUUUGUAAGUUGAGUGUUUCUAAGGUGGAAGCUCUCUGUCCUGCGUUAGUCAUUCAAAUCUCCACUUUUAAGCAGGUGCUGUAUGCAGCAGAAGGAAACAUUGCGCAUGGAAAGGGGGAAUGAACAGGUGGGAGUGAGAAGAGCAAGAAGGAACCAGACGAAAGCAGCCAAGGUCUGUUAAGAACGUGAGUGGUUCUGAAGUGUUUCAGUGAUACAGAGUACACGCACGACGAUGGGCAUUA